AUAGCUGAUUGCACCAACAAAUAGUUGAUGCAAUAUUGACUCUGUCAAAUAAAAUUCUAGGUAGAAUUAUGAUAAUGACAUUGUCUGCCUAUAUGUCUUGACCAAAUUACGUGCCAGCAGUCGCGGUAAUACGUAGAAGACUAGUGUUAUUCAUCUUUAAUAGGUUUAAAGGGUACCUAGACGGUAAAUCAAGCCUUCACAGGGACUAAUUUACUAGAGUUACUUACGAGGGGGUAUUAAAGUACUGCAGGUGUAGAGAUGAAAUUCUGUCAUACCUCUUUUCAAAAGAAAAAUUAUGGCACAGGUAUAGGUGAAAGCAUCCCCUUAUGUGAUAACUGACGUUGAAGGACGAAGGCUUUGUGUCGCGAACAGGAUUAGAUACCCCMGUAGUCAAAGCAGAAAAUGAUGAAUGUCAUAGAUUAGAUAAAUAGUUUAUUCUAUAAAUGAAAAUGUAAGCAUUCCACCUCAAGAGUAAUUUGGCAACAUUGGAACUGAAAUCAUUAGACCGUUUCUGAAACCAGUAGUGAAGUAUGUUGUUUAAUUUGAUGAUCCGCAAAAAACCUUACCACAAUUUGAAUAUUUAUAUCCAUCUUUUUUUUUCGUAAAAAAAUAAAAAGGUAAUAUAUUUACAAGCGUUGCACGGCUGUCUUCAGUUAAUGUCGCGAGACUUUGGUUAGUUCCAUUAAAUUAACGUAAACCCUUACUUUAUUUUUAUAUGAAGUAGUUCCCCGCUAUAUUGGAUAUGAUAACAGGGACUAAGACAAGUCAUCAUG
Molecule: ribosomal RNA, 773 nt
Filed under: Lepraria pacifica
Lineage: Eukaryota; Fungi; Ascomycota; Lecanoromycetes; Lecanorales; Stereocaulaceae
Description: SSU rRNA
Rfam family: Bacterial small subunit ribosomal RNA
Source: RNAcentral